GGCUCGGGCUGCGGGGCGGCUGGCGCGCGCGCGCCGCGGGGCGGAGAAGCGGGCCCGGCGGCCGGCGAGCAUGGAGGAGAAGUACCUGCCGGAGCUGAUGGCGGAGAAGGACUCUCUGGACCCCUCCUUCACGCACGCCCUGCGCCUGGUGAACCGAGAAAUAGAAAAGUUUCAAAAAGGAGAAGGCAAGGAUGAAGAGAAGUACAUUGAUGUGGUGAUAAAUAAGAACAUGAAGCUGGGACAGAAAGUGUUGAUUCCUGUAAAGCAAUUUCCCAAGUUCAACUUUGUGGGGAAGCUUUUGGGUCCACGUGGCAAUUCUCUGAAGCGCUUACAAGAAGAAACGUUGACAAAAAUGUCCAUCCUUGGAAAAGGUUCCAUGAGAGACAAGGCAAAGGAGGAAGAGCUGAGGAAAAGUGGAGAAGCAAAAUACUUCCACCUCAAUGAUGACCUGCAUGUGCUCAUUGAAGUGUUUGCGCCCCCAGCAGAAGCCUAUGCCCGGAUGGGGCACGCCUUGGAAGAGAUCAAGAAGUUCCUGAUCCCUGAUUAUAAUGAUGAAAUCAGGCAAGCACAGCUCCAGGAAUUAACAUAUUUGAAUGGAGGUUCAGAAAAUGCGGAUGUCCCUGUGGUUCGAGGGAAAUCCACUUUGCGUACAAGAGGUGUAACAACACCAGCAAUAACCAGGGGAAGAGGAGGAGUCACAGCCAGGCCUGUCGCAGUUGGGGUACCACGUGGGACACCGACUCCUCGAGGAGUCCUUUCCACCCGAGGGCCAGUGAGCCGGGGAAGAGGACUUCUCACUCCCAGAGCAAGAGGUGUCCCCCCAACUGGAUACAGACCUCCACCGCCACCCCCAACACAGGAGACCUAUGGAGAGUAUGACUAUGAUGAUGGGUACGGUACUGCAUACGAUGAACAGAGUUACGACUCCUAUGACAACAGCUACAGCACCCCAGCCCAAAGCGGAGCUGAUUACUAUGAUUACGGGCAUGGACUCGGUGAGGAGGCUUACGAUUCCUAUGGGCAAGAGGAAUGGGCUAACUCAAGACAUAAGGCUCCUUCAGCGAGGACGGCGAAGGGCGUCUACAGAGACCAGCCAUAUGGCAGAUACUGAUUGUACUGUCUGAUGUUGUGAAAUAGCCAAUCUGCACCGUCCUGUAUACUGUUCAAAGAAAUGUCGACCACCUUGGACUGUCAGAGGAGCUCGGUGUGACUUAGAGCAAACAAAGGAACUGCUUCUGUUACGGGCUGCUUAAGGCCAGUCACCUCACCAUUGUGCCUACUCAGUGAAUGGAUCCAUUUGGGAACUGGACAGUCACCAAUUGAUUAUUGUUGUUUUGUCCCUCAUGUGUGUUUUUGGGAUGUUUUCGUGAAACAUUUUUUAAUUUAAAAAGUUGUUUUUUCUUUCUUUUUAAAGAAAGAAUGUUUUAUUUUGUUGUCUCAGAAACAAACAAGAAGAAUGAUUUGUAUUGUCGCUAAUAAAGGCUCCCCCAUCAAAAUCUCUUCCAUUUUAAUAUAGACGAAGACCACAAAUCUAAUUAUUUCUGCACAGCUCUAUGAAGUUUGCAUACUUGAGAGACUUGUACAGCUACGGCUCCCCACAACAAAUCAAGAAGCUGCACACAUCACAGAUUUGAGAACGAUUUAUCCAUCUCAGUUAUGGGCCAAUACAUAUGUUAGGCAAAAGAGUCCUGCCCUGGCCUGUCCCAGGUUAGUCAUGAAGGCUUCUGGGCAGUGGAGUGGUACAUGGAACAGAGCUGGACUUCAGUGCCUCCCUGUGGUUGGCAAUGGAACAUAAAGGUCAAGGUCUCUGUGUCUAGUGUUACUCUGUUCCCUCCCCUUUCAUCGGUUGCUAGUGCGUUGUGAUUUUAAUUCCAUACACCCCCGGGAGCGUGUGUUUUAUUUGGGAAGCUUGCACAGCAUCCUUCCUGAUCUUGGAAUUUCCAGAGCUGUCUCACACCUUGUCUGGGUGUUGCUUUCUUCCCUCAGACGUUUCCUAGAGGCACUGACUUUUUACAGCAUCGUAGGUUUGGGACAUUGUGUAAACACAGAAUAACUUUGAAUAGUUUAACUUUUUCUUAUCCUUUUAGUAUGCAUCCUAAAAACAUAGUUGUCGUCGACUGAAGUUCUGACCUUUAUAUUUAUCAAAUGUGCAUUUUUCCAUCUUCUGACUAUGUGAUGUGCAAAGUGUGUGCUAGAGAACACCCAGCAGUGUUCUGCAGCCAGCUGGCUGCUUGUAGAAGAGGAUGGUGAGGACUGCAGUCUGGGGACACGCUUGGGAAGGCCAUGCACUCAGCACACCCUUUAGCCCAUUUAGACAAGUGGAAACUUGAGACUGUGAGCAGGCCGUGAUCAAUCGAAGACUCUGGUCCCUUCUUACUUGCUGACCCACCUGCAGCCCUGUGGUUGGGAGCCUCGAAGCU
Molecule: RNA transcript, 2420 nt
Organism: Peromyscus leucopus (white-footed mouse)
Lineage: Eukaryota; Metazoa; Chordata; Mammalia; Rodentia; Cricetidae
Gene: Khdrbs3
Gene name: KH RNA binding domain containing, signal transduction associated 3
Exons: 11
Source: RefSeq, a predicted model, not a curated record